RNAcentral lists this non-coding RNA (30 nucleotides) under Rattus norvegicus (Norway rat). The record is from RNAcentral. Lineage: Eukaryota; Metazoa; Chordata; Mammalia; Rodentia; Muridae.
UGCAAGAGAUGGUGAUCCAGGUUGGCGUCU